UGGGGAAUAUUGCACAAUGGGCGCAAGCCUGAUGCAGCGACGCCGCGUGAGGGAUGACGGCCUUCGGGUUGUAAACCUCUUUCAGUGCCGACGAAGCGUGAGUGACGGUAGGCAUAGAAGAAGGACCGGCCAACUACGUGCCAGCAGCCGCGGUAAUACGUAGGGUCCGAGCGUUGUCCGGAAUUACUGGGCGUAAAGAGCUCGUAGGUGGUUUGUCGCGUUGUUCGUGAAAACUCACAGCUCAACUGUGGGCGUGCGGGCGAUACGGGCAGACUGGAGUACUGCAGGGGAGACUGGAAUUCCUGGUGUAGCGGUGGAAUGCGCAGAUAUCAGGAGGAACACCGGUGGCGAAGGCGGGUCUCUGGGCAGUAACUGACGCUGAGGAGCGAAAGCGUGGGGAGCGAACAGGAUUAGAUACCCCGUAGU
This 426-nucleotide ribosomal RNA is filed under the name uncultured bacterium. Its description in RNAcentral is "bacterial SSU rRNA". It matches the Rfam family "Bacterial small subunit ribosomal RNA", at positions 355 to 794 of the family's 1533-position model. The record is from RNAcentral.